Molecule: ribosomal RNA, 469 nt
Filed under: uncultured bacterium
Lineage: Bacteria
Description: bacterial SSU rRNA
Rfam family: Bacterial small subunit ribosomal RNA
Source: RNAcentral
CGUGACUCCUACGGGAGGCAGCAGUGGGGAAUAUUGCACAAUGGGCGCAAGCCUGAUGCAGCCAUGCCGCGUGUAUGAAGAAGGCCUUCGGGUUGUAAAGUACUUUCAGCAGUGAGGAAGGCGGAGUCGUUAAUAGCGGCCUCGUUUGACGUUAGCUGCAGAAGAAGCACCGGCUAACUCCGUGCCAGCAGCCGCGGUAAUACGGAGGGUGCGAGCGUUAAUCGGAAUUACUGGGCGUAAAGCGCAUGCAGGCGGCCUGUUAAGUCAGAUGUGAAAGCCCGGGGCUUAACCUCGGAAUUGCAUUUGAAACUGGCAGGCUAGAGUCUUGUAGAGGGGGUAGAAUUUCAGGUGUAGCGGUGAAAUGCGUAGAGAUCUGAAGGAAUACCAGUGGCGAAGGCGGCCCCCUGGACAAAGACUGACGCUCAGAUGCGAAAGCGUGGGGAGCAAACAGGAUUAGAUACCCUGGUAG